This 72-nucleotide transfer RNA is filed under the name Schistocerca americana (American grasshopper). Its description in RNAcentral is "tRNA-Thr". It matches the Rfam family "tRNA". Rfam says of the family: Transfer RNA (tRNA) molecules are approximately 80 nucleotides in length. Their secondary structure includes four short double-helical elements and three loops (D, anti-codon, and T loops). Lineage: Eukaryota; Metazoa; Arthropoda; Insecta; Orthoptera; Acrididae. The record is from RNAcentral.
GCCUCCUUAGCUCAGGGGGAGUGCACUGGUCUUGUAAACCAGGGGUCGUGAGUUCGAUUCUCACAGGGGGCA